UUUAUUACUUUUUAAUAUUUUCAACGAUUUACGAAAUCGAAAAUGAUUUUAGAAUUUUAAGUUGAAAAUAAUUUGAAUUACGAAAAUUGAUUGAAUUUAGAAAACGAUCCUAUUCGGUUUUGGAUUCAAAUCCUAAAGCUAAAUUCCUAAGUCUAGCCCAAUUGGACAAAGCCCAAUAUUAUAAACCCAUAACCCCAAACUACCCUACUCCCUUCUCUUUCAACAAUACGUAAAACAAAAAAAAAAAUAAUAAACAACCAAACUCCCUCCUUCAAUCUCACGUAAAAAGCAAACCCUCAAGAACUCCUCCUCCCUCACGUUGCCUCCAAGCUCAGCCGCCACCACCGCCGGACCAGUCGCCGCCGGUUAGCUUGCUCCCCCUCUUCUUCGACCUUCUUCUUCGUCGUUCUCCUCCCUCACUGUUCCUUCUUUGUUUUUCCUUUUGUUCUUCUUCUCACGUUGCUUCGAGUAUUGCUCUCCUCAAUUUCUUUUCUAUUUUCGUACAGCCCGCCGCCAGCACAGCCACCUUGCCGUCGCCUGACGACGACCUUUGUACGCCAACCACCACCACCGGUGCGCCGUCGUGCCCCUCCUUGCCGUCGUUCCACCGCUGCCGCGCCUGUGCUCCGCCGGCCAGCAUCUCCUUGAAUCCUUCUUGGCGGAGAAUUCUCUUUAGGCGACUUUUGAAAAUGUUAAAGUGCCCUAUCAGUUGUUUACACAAGUCUCUAAGGAUCAAUAAGCGUUGCCCAUCUACAGGUUUGAAGAUGAUGCAUCAUUGGGAUCGGGAUUAGAGAGCUUGUAGUUCAUUUGAUUUUCUAAGUUGGAUUUGGUUUGUUUAAGUGGACUCUAAAACUUAUUGAAUUAGUAACAUUAACUUUGUUUUUCGUUGAUUGGUUUUUGGGAUUUAUUCUGAAAAUGAUUAUUUAUAAACCUACAGUUAGUUUUAUGUUUUCCGCUGCAAAAUUCUGAAUAAGCCGUUACGUUUUCACACGGGCGAUAAUGCCUUGAUAAUUCUCUACGUUUUAUAUUAAGAUGUUCUUUUAGAAAAGAGAGAAUUGUCG
Molecule: long non-coding RNA, 1061 nt
Organism: Spinacia oleracea (spinach)
Lineage: Eukaryota; Viridiplantae; Streptophyta; Magnoliopsida; Caryophyllales; Amaranthaceae
Exons: 4
Source: RefSeq, a predicted model, not a curated record